RNAcentral lists this small RNA (515 nucleotides) under Pongo abelii (Sumatran orangutan). RNAcentral describes it as "processed transcript". Lineage: Eukaryota; Metazoa; Chordata; Mammalia; Primates; Hominidae. The record is from RNAcentral.
CCGGUGUUUCCUGGCCUGGCUGCCAGCUCAGUGGCCCUGCCAUCCUCAGAGCUCCGCUAGAGUCGGGGGAGGCCCUGCUGACCCUGCUCUUGUCCCCAGAGGUGGCCGGCAGGUUCCUGGCGUCGGAGGCCAGCACGCACCUGCUGGUGUUCGGCAUGGAGCAGCGGCUGCCGCCCAACAGCGAGCUGGUGCAGGCCGUGCUGCGGCUCUUUCAGGAGCCGGUCCCCAAGGCCGCGCUGCACAGGCAUGGGCGGCUGUCCCCGCGCAGUGCCCAGGCCCGGGUGACCGUCGAGUGGCUGCGCGUCCGCGACGACGGCUCCAACCGCACCUCCCUCAUCGACUCCAGGCUGGUGUCCGUCCACGAGAGCGGCUGGAAGGCCUUCGACGUGACCGAGGCCGUGAACUUCUGGCAGCAGCUGAGCCGGCCCCGGCAGCCGCUGCUGCUACAGGUGUCGGUGCAGAGGGAGCAUCUGGGCCCGCUGGCGUCUGGCGCCCACAAGCUGGUCCGCUUUGCC